This 574-nucleotide long non-coding RNA is filed under the name Salmo salar (Atlantic salmon). Its description in RNAcentral is "lncRNA (ENSSSAG00000088374.1, ENSSSAG00075064924.1)". The record is from RNAcentral. Lineage: Eukaryota; Metazoa; Chordata; Actinopteri; Salmoniformes; Salmonidae.
AUCAAAUUAAGAUCCUACAUAUGUAUGAAAGUUAUGUACUAUAGUGGUAUAAAUAAGGCAAAGAUGCAUUUAAUUCAUGCUUAGAGACUUAGGCUUGAGAAAGUCUUAGACUACAAGUGUUUCUAAAUGCAUGUGAUUUGGGACAGUAAGAAUUCAUCUCUUUCUCUCUGUCCAUAUUCUGUAUUGUGUUGCCCCUUUAAUUCUUAUUUUCUUUUGAAGCCGUCUCUGUACAAUUACUCUAAAAGAGAAGUUGUGCCAUCAGCGUGCGGCACUGUGAGUUCCCCUCUGUUUACCAAGAGCAACCCAGAAGAGCUCAGUCCUUUGUUGAGCGCCAGUCACUCCCAGCCACACAGCUGUGACACACACGCAAGCAGAAGCUCUUGCUGGGAGACAGUGAGUGUCGUUCCAGGCAGGGAGGCCGCAGAUAAAGAGCUGAUAGUGCCUCCUGGCAGAAGCCGGUCCGGUUCAGUGGGUGCAACGUUUUUAUGGAGACAGUUGGCUGGGCGCCAGGUCAGAGACGUCUGGCUGGCUUGUUAGUGUGAGUGUGUGCCUCACCUUGAUAACAGAAGUGUGG